Molecule: ribosomal RNA, 300 nt
Filed under: uncultured Thermosipho sp.
Lineage: Bacteria; Thermotogati; Thermotogota; Thermotogae; Thermotogales; Fervidobacteriaceae
Description: bacterial SSU rRNA
Rfam family: Bacterial small subunit ribosomal RNA (bases 52-300)
Source: RNAcentral
UGUAAGACCGUGGGUGGGGCCGGUGGAAUAGGGAGGGUGAUAGCGUUAGUCGGCAGUACUGGGCGUGAAGCGGACGCAGGCGGUUGGAUAAGGUAGAUGUGAAAGCCCCGGGCUCAACCUGGGAAUUGUAUUUAAAACUGUCCAGCUAGUGUCUUGUAGAGGGGGGUAGAAUUCCAGGUGUAGCGGUGAAAUGCGUAGAGAUCUGGAGGAAUACCGGUGGCGAAGGCGGCCCCCUGGACAAAGACUGACGCUCAGGUGCGAAAGCGUGGGGAGCAAACAGGAUUAGAUACCCGGGUAGUC